AAGCUUGCGUCGAGGCGAAGCGAAGUCGUGAAGGUGCCGGGUCUAUCCGAUGUACGAGGAAAAAGUUGGACGAUUUUACCCCUGGGGGUAUUUGAGUUGUGUGCUUCAUGUAAGAGCAUUCUGGUCAUUUUCCGGAUGCCUAUAUAUUUGUGGGAGGGCUGUGGGAGGCAGUCAUCUCUUUGGACUAGUUUGGUGGUGGGUUUCUCAUUUGUUUGUGAGAGCUUUUGGUAGAGGUGUGAGGGAAGAGAAAUGAGGGAUCAUUGUGUUGAUCUUUUUGUCAUCCUAGUUUUGAUUGUGCUUAGGAGUAUCUUAUAACCGGACAUAGUGAUGUAAUUCAAGGAUCAGUUUUGUGCUAAAUUACUUCCUUUUUUCUAGAUCUGUGUUUUUCUUUU
Molecule: long non-coding RNA, 392 nt
Filed under: Setaria viridis
Lineage: Eukaryota; Viridiplantae; Streptophyta; Magnoliopsida; Poales; Poaceae
Description: long non-coding RNA (SVIR_LNC001284)
Source: RNAcentral